Homo sapiens (human) is the source of this 5421-nucleotide long non-coding RNA. RefSeq lists it as uncharacterized. NCBI's taxonomy places the organism in Eukaryota, Metazoa, Chordata, Mammalia, Primates, Hominidae. The transcript is spliced from 5 exons. The record is from RefSeq and is a predicted model, not a curated record.
GAGAGAGAGAGAGAGAGAGAGAGAUUACCUCUCUUGUAGCAAUCUGCUUUGUAGAGUUCUAGAAAAAAAUGGUAUCUGUUUUUUCUUUUAAAUAUUUAAAUUUCCAUUAUUAUUAUAACAAAAUCAAUCUUUCAGAGUAAUGAUUCUCAUUAUGGAGUAAUUUGAUGAUUAAGACCAGUUGGCAUAGGAAAAAAUUGUGAUUUAGAAAUUAUGUGAUAAUUAUGAAUUGGUCUUAAGCUACAGUGUUCAUUGAUCACUUUUUAAAACUAUGAAUGGAUUCUAUUACUUUUUAUAUGACCAGAUUACAUUAAUACUAGCAUAAUUAUGAUUUCAAAUUUUUACAAAUCAGACUUAAUUCUGAAUUCAGUUAUUAGUUUUGAUAUUGCUGAAAUAUUUUAAACUUCAUCCUCUUUUUUAACAUAUUCAAAAAUACUCUUUGAAUCGCUGACUCAAAAUGAAAGGCAACAAACAUAAUAAUUAGGUUAUAAUUGUUUUAAAAGUGUAUUCUUUUCCUCUGUUUUAGGAACAAGCACAAUAUAAAAAACAAUUAGAGCAGUUAAACAAGGAUAUAAUACAGCUUCACUAAAUAAGAAGGAACUCACACUUAAAGAUGUGGAAUGUAAAUUCUACAAAAUGAAAACUGCUUAUGAAGAGGUUACAACUGAGUUAGAAGAAUAUAAGGAAGCCUUUGCAGCAGCAUUGAAAGCUAACAGUUCCAUGUCAAAAAAAUUAACUAAAUUGAAUAAGAAAAUAGCAAUGAUCAGUAUCAGCUCUUUAUGGAGAAAGAGCAGGUGAAAUAUUUUCUCAGCACUCUUCCUACAAGGCGAGGUCGAGAGUCACCUUGUGUUGAAAAUCUUACUAGUAUAGGACUCAACAGAAAAUAUAUUCCCCAAAUGCCCGUAAGAAUUCCUACUUCAAACCUCAGACUUCAAAUAACUGCCAGAACUACUUGACUGAGCUGUUGCUGUAUUGGACACUUGCUCCCAUCUACUUUCUUCUCUAGAAUCCACGGGUAAGCCACAUCUAAUGAAGAGAAUAUUUAACCAUAAAGUCUUAAGGAAAAAUUCUAUGAUGAUUUAAAAGAUUAUAAAACUUUAUUACUGGGCUAUUUACACAUUUUAAUUGUUUCUCAUAAAAUAUAUAACAUUCCAAUAUUUACUGAAGUAGGAUAUUUUUGUAUCAUAUGUAUGAUUAUAAUUUAUAGGGUAUUUUAAAUGAUGUUUUUUGGCCUCCUUAAGUUUUAAGUGGAUCUUGCAAAUGAAAACCAGUAUUAUUGAGUUUGACAUACUCAAAUUGCCCAAAUGUCAGCUGUUUAAACAACCAAGUCAUCACUGAUACUUUAGUAAAGGUUAGUAAAGGUCAUCGAAGGCUUAUUUGCAUUUUACAGUUUUUAUUACUUAGGAGAGUUAAGGAGUACCUGCCAGGUUUGUCCAUGCUAAUGUUACAAUUUUCUUUUUGUAGUUCAACUGUAUUUUGUAUGGAGAUACUUUGAGGCUCUGUAAAUAUCUGGUUACUCCUCAGAACCCACUAGAUUUAGCAUUUCAUGGAUGACUUGUGUUUGAACAAUUAUUACUAUGAUGGUUACCAGAUGAUUAUUUUCUUAUUCUCUUCUUUGUUCUACAUGGAGAAAUAAAACCAAUAAAUAAGGGAGAAGGAAAGCUCAUGAUUCUGAUGCUCCAAUUCCCCAAGAUUAGGCCAGUAGUAGACAUUCCAAGCUGACUUUAUGUCUCUUUGAUUUGUCUCCAUUACUCUGUCGGCACUUUUUUACUUUCUGGCAGAAGAUGUUCUAAGCUCAGCUUGUAUUUUCUCUGCGCCAGCUCUGGAAUGAGUCAUUUUUUUUAGAAGCAGAGGUGGAGCCACUGAGGAAGCACAGACUCCCAUGGUGGUGGGUUGUGUCACCCCACAAUGUCACUGUUGCUGAGUCCCCAUCGCCUCUGUGUUGUGGAGCAGUUAGAGACACACAGCAGUGUCUGUGAGUAGCUCUGCGUGAAGGACCAUUUUCUAGAUGAGAGGCACAUCUCAACACAGCUCACUGAUCAGAUUCAGGUGAGUGGGACCUGCUCUUUUCUCUUCCUUCUGGCUUGGGAAAAGUCACUAUCAGGUGGAUGGUUUUGGUCUCUGGGCAGCUACUGAGGGUAAUCCCUGAACACUCACCAGCUGCCUGUUAUGUGCUGACAGUCAUCUCAUUCAUCCUCGCAGCAAUUCCAUUCUGCAUCUUUUCUGAUCACCUCCGUGACCACACAGGACAACCCCAUCAGGGCCCUGUCACCAGGCCCAGUCUAGCUCCAUGAUAACCAAGACACAGGCCCAGAGACAAUCGUCCUACAUUGUGCCUGCAUCUGACACCCCUUGGAAUACAGAACACUGCUGCUGGAGUCUGAAUGUUUGUCACUCACAUAGAAUUCCAGAACACUGCUGCGAGGAUCUGAAUGUUUGACCCUCAAAUGGGAUUCCAGAACACUGCUGCGAGGGUCUAAAUGUCUGUCCCUCACAUAGGUUUCCAGCACAAUGUUACGAGGUUCUGAAUGUUUGUCCCUAACAUAGGAUUCCAGAGCACUCCUGCUGUGCUCUGAAUGCUUCUCCCUCACAUAGGAUUCCAGAACACUGCUAUGAGGGUCUGAAUGCUUAUACCUCCUAUAGGAUUCCAGAACACUCCUGCUGUGCUCUGAAUGUUUGUUCCUCACAUAGGAUUCCAGAACACUCCUGCCGUGGUCUGAAUGUUUGUCCCUCACAUAGGAUUCCAGAACAUUCAUGCUGGGGUCUCAAUGUUUCCCUUAACAUAGGAUUUCAGAACACUGCUCUUGGGGUCUGAAUGUUUGUCCCUCACAUAGGAUUACAGAACACUGCUGCUGGAGUCUGAAUGUUUGUCAGUCACAUAGAAUUCCAGAACACUGCUAUGAGGGUGUGAAUAUUUUUCCCUCACCUAGUAUUCCAGAACACUGUUGCAAGGGUCUGCAUGUUGGUCCGUCAUAUAGGAUUCCAGAACACUGCUGCUGUGGUCUGAAUGUUUGUCCCUCACAUAAAAUUCUGGAACACUGCUACAAGGGUCUGAAUGUUUGUCCUUCACAUACCAUUCCAGAACACUGCUGCCGUGGUCUGAAUGUAUGUCCCUCACAUAGGAUUCCAGAACACUGCUACUAGGUUCUGAAUGUUUUUCCCACACCUAGGAUUCCAGAACACUUCUGCUGGUGUCUGAAUGGUUGUCCCUCACAUAUGAUUCCAGGACACUGCUAUGAGAGUCUUAAUGUUUGUCCUUCACAUAGAAUUCCAGAACACUGCUCCCGUGGUCUGAAUGUUUGUCCCUCACAUAGCAUUGCAGAACACUGCUACAAGGGUUUGAAAGUUUGUCCCUCACAUAGGAUUCCACAACACUACUGCUGGGGUCUGAAUGUUUGGCCCUCACAUAGGAUUCUAGAACACUCCAGCUGGCUUCUGAGUGUUUGUCCCUCACAUAGGAUUCCUGAAGACUGCUGCUGUCGCUAUAGUCGUUGAGAGUGUCUGAAUGUUUGACCUUCACCAAACACCAAAUAUCCUGGCCCUUUAGUCUUGUACUUUCCAGCCUCCAGGUCUGUGAACAAUAAUCUCUGUUGUUUAUGAAUUACUCAGUCUGAAGUAUUUUGUUAUAGUAGCCUAAAGAGACUAAGAGAGCAUCACCUGCCCUGUCACCUCAUCACCGCAUUACUGAAGCUAUACUAACAGCAGUCACUUUUAGUGGGUACUUCAUGCAUCAGAAUAAAGGGAAAAAAUUGCAAGGCAUACUAAAAUCCAAAAAAAGAAAAAAAUACAAUUUGUAUCAACAGAGCAAGCUUCAGAAGCAGACAAAGAUAUGAUCUUGGAAUUUUUUUUUAAACCUCUGGAGAAUAUGCUAAGGGCCUAAUGAAUGAAGUAGACAGUAUUCAAGUGUAGACGGGUAAUGUAAUGAGAAAGACAGACAUCGUAAGAACUUUCAACAUAAUGUAGUGAUGAAAAACGUGGUAAAUAACUGAAGAAUACCUCUGAUGGCUUAUUAGUAGACUGGACUCAGCUGAGUAAAAAUCUCUGAGCUUGAGGAUUUAUCAUCAGAAACUUCAAAAACUAAAGAAAAGAAACACUGAAAAGAACAGAAGAUGAUAUUCAAGACUGUGGGACAACUACAAAAGGUGAAACAGUAAUGAGAAUACCAAGAGGAGAAGAAAUAGAAGAAAGUUCUGCAACAACCAUGUCUGAGAACUUCCAGUAUUAAUGUCAGACACCAAACCAAAGAUCCAGGAAGCUCUGAGAACACCAGGCAGAAUAAAUACCAACAACCUACACUUGGACAUAUAAUUUUCAAACUAUAUGAAAUAAAAGAUAAAGGAAAACUCUGAAAGAAACCAGAGGUGGGGCAGAAAACACCUUACCUACAGAGACACAAAGAUAAGAACUGCAUUCAACAUUUCAGAAACUGUGAAAGUAAGAAGACAGUGAAAUGAAAAAUUCAAAAUGUUGACAGAAAAAACCCACCAACCUAAGUUUCUGUACCCACUGAAACCACCCUUCAAAAGUGAAGGAGAAUUAAGGCCUUCCUCAGAAAAAUAAAAAUUCAAGAAACUUGUUGCCAGGAGACCUGUCUUGCAAGAAAUGUUAAAUGAAAUUCUUUAGGGAAACAAAAGAUAUAUAACUGAAACCUGGAUCAACAUUUUUUUAAAAAGAGCAUUAAAGAAAGAAUUGUGGUACAAUAAAAACCUAUGUAUUUAUUCUUAAUUGAUCUGACCAAGAAGAUCAUAGACAAUAACAAAUACAGAUAUAUUAUGUAUGCUUAUAUACAAUUGAAAUGAGUAACACUAAUACAAGGAAUGGAAUGGAAGGAUGGUAGGGAGGCAUUGUGGUACAAUAAAAACAUGUAUUUAUUCAUAAUUGAUCUGACCAAUAAGUUUGUAGAUAAUAAUAAAUACACACAGAUAGAUUAUGCAUGCUUAUACACAAGUGAAAUAAGGAACAAUAAUACAAGGAAUGGAAUGGAAGGAUGGGAGGGAGGAAUCAGGUGUUUUCUUUGUUAAGCAGGUAGUCACCCGUGAAGUGGGAUAGUGUUAUCUGAAAGUGGACUUGAAUUGGUUGUAAAUGUAUAUUGAGGAAUUAGGUGUGUUCUUUGUUAAGCAGGUAGUCUUAUUUGUGGGAUAGUGGGAUAGUGUUAUGUGAAAGUGGACUUGAAUUGGUUGUAAAUGUUACUGAGGAAUUAGGUGUUUUGUUUGUUAAGCAGGUAGUCUUAUUUGUGGGAUAGUUGGAUAGUGUUAUUUGAAAGUGGACUUGAAUUGGUUGUAAAUGUAUAUUGCAAAUUCUGUGACAACUAGUUAAAAAAAAGUUUUAAAAAGAGAAGUACGUACUAAGAAAGACAGGGAAAAUGGAGUCAUCUAAAAUCAUCAAUGAAAACUGCAAAAGGCAGAAAAAGAGUCGUAGACAAAA